This 252-nucleotide ribosomal RNA is filed under the name uncultured bacterium. RNAcentral's name for it is "partial 16S ribosomal RNA". It matches the Rfam family "Bacterial small subunit ribosomal RNA", at positions 525 to 776 of the family's 1533-position model. The record is from RNAcentral.
ACGGAAGGUUCGGGCGUUAUCCGGAUUUAUUGGGUUUAAAGGGAGCGCAGGCUGCCGAUCAAGCGUGUUGUGAAAUUCAUGUGCUUAACAUAUGCAUUGCAGCGCGAACUGAUUGGCUUGAGGGCGCGUGACGUGGGCGGAAUUCGUAGUGUAGCGGUGAAAUGCUUAGAUAUUACGAAGAACCCCGAUUGCGAAGGCAGCUCACGAGGGCGCCACUGACGCUAAAGCUCGAAAGUGCGGUUAUCAAACAGG